Molecule: ribosomal RNA, 847 nt
Filed under: bacterium 0%11LO
Lineage: Bacteria
Description: bacterial SSU rRNA
Rfam family: Bacterial small subunit ribosomal RNA
Source: RNAcentral
AGAUCAGCGGCGGACGGGUGAGUAACACGUGGGCAACCUGCCUGUAAGACUGGGAUAACUUCGGGAAACCGGAGCUAAUACCGGAUAAUCCUUUCCCUCACAUGAGGGAAAGCUGAAAGACGGUUUCGGCUGUCACUUACAGAUGGGCCCGCGGCGCAUUAGCUAGUUGGUGAGGUAACGGCUCACCAAGGCAACGAUGCGUAGCCGACCUGAGAGGGUGAUCGGCCACACUGGGACUGAGACACGGCCCAGACUCCUACGGGAGGCAGCAGUAGGGAAUCUUCCGCAAUGGACGAAAGUCUGACGGAGCAACGCCGCGUGAACGAUGAAGGCUUUCGGGUCGUAAAGUUCUGUUGUCAGGGAAGAACAAGUACCGGAGUAACUGCCGGUACCUUGACGGUACCUGACCAGAAAGCCACGGCUAACUACGUGCCAGCAGCCGCGGUAAUACGUAGGUGGCAAGCGUUGUCCGGAAUUAUUGGGCGUAAAGCGCGCGCAGGCGGUUCCUUAAGUCUGAUGUGAAAGCCCCCGGCUCAACCGGGGAGGGUCAUUGGAAACUGGGGAACUUGAGUGCAGAAGAGGAGAGCGGAAUUCCACGUGUAGCGGUGAAAUGCGUAGAGAUGUGGAGGAACACCAGUGGCGAAGGCGGCUCUCUGGUCUGUAACUGACGCUGAGGCGCGAAAGCGUGGGGAGCGAACAGGAUUAGAUACCCUGGUAGUCCACGCCGUAAACGAUGAGUGCUAAGUGUUARAGGGUUUCCGCCCUUUAGUGCUGCAGCAAACGCAUUAAGCMCUCCGCCUGGGGARUACGGCCGCAAGGCUGAAACUCANGGAAUUGACGGGGGCCC